UCUCCAGACGCGAGCAGGCCAUCUCCAGCGAGAUCAGUACAUCUCCAGCAGGCCAUCUCCAUCACAGUAACCCUCCCUUCCCCCUCCCUUCCGUCGACCACCACCAGCAGCCAUCUUCGCGAGCAAGCAUCUCCAGACGCGAGCUCCAGCGAGAUCAGUACAUCUCCAGCAGGUCAUCUCCAGAGCUUAGAGCCUUAGACUAUUGUUAAUCUUAAUUAUAUAGUUUUAGACUUUGUUAUGCAAUUUCUAUUUACUAUUUAGACUUUUAAACUUUAUUGGGUCAUUGGAACACUUUUUGCUAUAUUAUAUUAUUCAUAUAUUAUGGAAAUAUCAGGGGUAAUUAUAAAAAAUACAUGUAAAUAUAACAUGUCGCAUAUUUACGUAUAUGCGCGUAUAUGCACGCAUAUACUUAU
This 413-nucleotide long non-coding RNA is filed under the name Zostera marina. RNAcentral's name for it is "long non-coding RNA (ZMAR_LNC005037)". The record is from RNAcentral. Lineage: Eukaryota; Viridiplantae; Streptophyta; Magnoliopsida; Alismatales; Zosteraceae.